GGUCUUGCGCAAUGGAUGCCCACGAAUCAUGUCAGGCGGGGAACCGAGCAGCAUUAAGAGGGAUCAUGCACGCAUAAUUUUU
This 82-nucleotide signal recognition particle RNA is filed under the name Bacillota bacterium. RNAcentral's name for it is "signal recognition particle sRNA small type". It matches the Rfam family "Bacterial small signal recognition particle RNA". From Rfam's summary of the family: The signal recognition particle (SRP) is a universally conserved ribonucleoprotein involved in the co-translational targeting of proteins to membranes. Archaeal SRP consists of a 7S RNA and homologues of the eukaryotic SRP19 and SRP54 proteins. In most bacteria, the SRP consists of a 4.5S RNA and the Ffh protein (a homologue of the eukaryotic SRP54 protein). Lineage: Bacteria; Bacillati; Bacillota. The record is from RNAcentral.